AUUAGGGUUGCACGUCCAAUGUCUUGUUAUACUAGUAUUCUUCUCCAAUAAAUAUUGACACACGUGUACAGGCUAAUGUAAACUUUUCAUUAUUAUAAUAACUGUGGCCUUAUCUCUACUUGCUUUUCUCUUGCAUACCAAUUCUUACGCUUACAAAUCGUAUCGACAGUUGACUUGAUCAUCAAAAUGUCAUCAAUCGUCG
RNAcentral lists this long non-coding RNA (202 nucleotides) under Olea europaea (common olive). RNAcentral's name for it is "long non-coding RNA (OEUR_LNC006264)". The record is from RNAcentral. Lineage: Eukaryota; Viridiplantae; Streptophyta; Magnoliopsida; Lamiales; Oleaceae.